RNAcentral lists this long non-coding RNA (1152 nucleotides) under Zonotrichia albicollis (white-throated sparrow). RNAcentral describes it as "lncRNA (ENSZALG00000001721.1)". The record is from RNAcentral. Lineage: Eukaryota; Metazoa; Chordata; Aves; Passeriformes; Passerellidae.
GUGCCGUGUCCCCACCGCAUCCCCGGCUGUCCCCGCGUGUCCCUGCCCAGCUGUCCUCGAUGUGUCCCCGCAGCCCGAGGCCAUUUCUGUGCCACAUCCCACUUGUCCCCGGCGUGUCCCGGCUGUCCCCAGGGUGUCCUUGCUGUCCCUGCUGCAUCCUGGCUGGCCCUGGACUGUCCUCAGUGCGUCUUGGCUGUCCCCAGAACGGCUCAGUGGGGUUGGGGACAUCUGGGGCUGUCACCCCCUGUCCCUGGGGUGACCCCAGAAGGGUUCAGCAGGGUUGGGGACACUCGGGGCUGUCAGCUCAUGUCCCUGGAUUGUCCCCAGUGUGUCCUGGCUGCCCCCAAAACAGCUCAGUGGGGCUGGGGACACUCGAGGCUGUCACCCCAUGUCCCUGCACUGUUCCUGGCGCAUCCUGGCUGUCCCUGCACUGUCUGCAGUGUGUCCUCGCUGUCCCCAGGGUGUUCUGGCUGCCCUCAGAAGGGUUGGGGACACUCGAGGCUGUCACCCCAUGUCCCUGGAUUGUCCCCAGUGUGUCCUGGCUGUCCCCAAAACAGCUCAGUGGGGUUGGGGACACCUGGGGCUGUCACCCCCUGUUCCUGGGCUGUCCCUGGUGCAUCCUGGCUGUCCCUGGGCUGUCCCCAGUGUGUCCUGGCUGUCCCCAGAACGGCUCAGCAGGCUUGGGGACACUCGGAGCUGUCACCCUACCCCAUCCUGGCUGCCCCUAGAAGAGCUUAGCGGGGUUGGGGACACUCGAGCCUGUCACCCCAUGUCCCUGCACUGUCCCUGGUGCAUCCUGGCUGGCCCUGGACUGUCCUCAGUGUGUCCUGGCUGUCCCCAGAACGGCUCAGUGGGGUUGGGGACAUCUGGGGCUGUCACCCCCUGUCCCUGGGCUGUCCCUGGUGCAUCCUGGCUGUCCCUGCACUGUCUGCAGUGUGUCCUCGCUGUCCCCAGGGUGUCCUGGCUGUCCCCAGAAGGGUUGGGGACACUCGAGGCUGUCACCCCAUGUCCCUGUGUUGUCCCCAGUGUGUCCUGGCUGUCCCCAGAACGGCUCAGAUGGGUUGGGGACACUCGGGGCUGUCACCCCCUGUCCCUGGGCUGUCCCUGGUGCAUCCUGGCUGUCCCUGGGCUGUCCCCAGUGUGUCCUGGCUG